Molecule: ribosomal RNA, 482 nt
Filed under: uncultured bacterium
Lineage: Bacteria
Description: partial 16S ribosomal RNA
Rfam family: Bacterial small subunit ribosomal RNA
Source: RNAcentral
AUUGAACGCUGGCGGCAUGCUUUACACAUGCAAGUCGAACGGUAACAGGCCGCAAGGUGCUGACGAGUGGCGAACGGGUGAGUAAUGCAUCGGAACGUGCCCAGUCGUGGGGGAUAACUACUCGAAAGAGUAGCUAAUACCGCAUACGAUCUAUGGAUGAAAGCGGGGGACCGUAAGGCAUCGCGCGAUUGGAGCGGCCGAUGUCAGAUUAGGUAGUUGGUGGGGUAAAGGCACACCAAGCCAACGAUCUGUAGCGGGUCUGGGAGGGCGACCAGCCACACUGGGACUGAGCCACGGCCCAGACUCCUACGGGAGGCCGCAGUGGGGAAUUUUGGACAAUGGGCGCAAGCCUGAUCCAGCAAUGCCGCGUGCAGGAAGAAGGCCUUCGGGUUGUAAACUGCUUUUGUACGGAACGAAACGGCUCUGGUUAAUACCCGGGGCUAAUGACGGUACCGGAAGAAUAAGCACCGGCUAACUACGUG